UCUUCAAGAAGAGGCAAGGCUUAAGCAACAAGAACAUCGUUCAGUUCACCUUGUAAGUCAAGGAGCCAAAACGAUAGAGGUACCUGAAGUUAAUGGACCUCCUCAAGUAAUUGAGGUUCAUGAAAAGAGACAAAACAAUGUCAUAGAUCCACCUGAAGUUAAUGGUCAGGAGAUGAGACAAAACAAUGUUAUAGAGCCACCUAAAGUUAAUGGACCUCUUCAAGUAAAUGAGGUUCAUGAGAAGAGACAAUACAAUGUCAAGUGUUAUUUCUGCAAAAAGUUUGGGCAUGUUAAGAAAAAUUGCCACAAACGUAGGGCAUGGUUCGAAAAGAAAGGGCUUCCUUACUAUCCAGGCCUUAAACCCAAAUGAAAAUUUCAUAUCCAUGGGAAAUUGAGUCAAAGUUCCAAUUAUUGCCAUUGGGACCUUUCGUUUGUUUCUAGAUACUGAUUGUUACACAGAUAUGUUUAACACACUUAAUGUUUCUUUUACUUCUCAAAAUUUGGUUUCUUUGUCUAAACUUGAUAUUGAUUGAUGUGUGAUGGUGGUUUCAAA
This is a non-coding RNA of Corylus avellana, 553 nucleotides long. Lineage: Eukaryota; Viridiplantae; Streptophyta; Magnoliopsida; Fagales; Betulaceae. The record is from RefSeq and is a predicted model, not a curated record.